UGAAAACUUAUUGGUCAUGCAGGUGAACCAGUUGUUUCAGGUUGCACUGAAAUGCCAGAGCACAAUCUUGGAGAGUGGGUCAGAUGGAGUUUCUAAGCAGGAUUUACAGUCAAAAAUAGUAACAUGGUCUUGGGAGCAGGACGGAAGAUAUCUGAAGUUGUCAAGAGCAUGAAGGAUCUCAUGAACUUCACUGGCGACCACAAGAUAGGCCCUAUUGAGGGGUUGAAACGGCUUUUUGAACAGACAGCGACAGUAAAGCUCGAGAGACAGAAAAUGCAAGAGAUGAAGCUAUUAUGAAUGGGUCAUCUCAAUCUCAGAUGGCGUUAACUGCAGGAACGAUGAAGGCCUAGCUGGCAACAACAACAAUCACCAUCAAGUUGUUGGUCGUGGAGCUAUGAAUGGCUCAGCUCAAGCCGCAGCAGCUCUGACCAACUACCAAAGCAUGCUUAUGAGGCAAAAUGCUAUCAAUAACCCAAACUCUCUAGUCAGAGCCAGAGUCCAUCUUCUUCGUCUCAUCAGAGGCAGAACUUACCAACAAGUGGAUUUCCCAGCUCUCCCCAGAUGCAACAGCAGCAGCAGCGCACCAUGAAGGGCGCUCUCAACACGCUUCAGCAGAAUCCUGCUCAUCAUUUUGCUGCAACCACCACAUCCACAUGGUAACAAUCAGGAGCAGCAGAUGCUUCAACAGCUGUUUGUUGCAGGAGAUAUCUGAAAACGGAGGAAAGUUGCAACAGCAACAAUCCUUUACAGGUCAAAGUGGUGGCAACAAUAAUGCAGAGAGAAAACCCAACUGGCUCCACUUCCAACAUCUCAGGAGGAGGCCGAGUUCCAAGCCGCAACAACAGUUUCAAAUCAGCUUCAAACAGCAACCUUCAUUUAUCAGAAGAUAUACCUAUCACAGAACUACCUCAUGAUUUCUCAGAGGACUUCUUCAACAACAGCAUUGUUACUUUUGACAUAACACAAUGAAGAAGGUUUUAUGCUUAAUCUGCCGCAUUUAGGUUGUUUGGGUCUUUUGUAUAGAAACCAAAGAGAUAUGGAAGCAAUGAAGGAAACUGUUAUCUGUUGUAAGUUGUAACCUAUAUAGUGAUAGUAUGAUGAGGUCUUAGGUUAUAAUCUCUGCAGACAUUUUCAAGUAAUGCUAUUCUUUUCUA
Raphanus sativus (radish) is the source of this 1154-nucleotide long non-coding RNA. RefSeq lists it as uncharacterized. The record is from RefSeq and is a predicted model, not a curated record. The transcript has 3 exons. NCBI's taxonomy places the organism in Eukaryota, Viridiplantae, Streptophyta, Magnoliopsida, Brassicales, Brassicaceae.